UAGGGAAUCUUCGGCAAUGGGGGGAACCCUGACCGAGCAACGCCGCGUGAGUGAAGAAGGUUUUCGGAUCGUAAAGCUCUGUUGUUAAGGAAGAACGAGUGUGAGAAUGGAAAGUUCAUGCUGUGACGGUACUUAACCAGAAAGGGACGGCUAACUACGUGCCAGCAGCCGCGGCAAUACGUAGGUCCCGAGCGUUGUCCGGAUUUAUUGGGCGUAAAGCGAGCGCAGGCGGUUAGAUAAGUCUGAAGUUAAAGGCAGUGGCUCAACCAUUGUAGGCUUUGGAAACUGUUUAACUUGAGUGCAGAAGGGGAGAGUGGAAUUCCAUGUGUAGCGGUGAAAUGCGUAGAUAUAUGGAGGAACACCGGUGGCGAAAGCGGCUCUCUGGUCUGUAACUGACGCUGAGGCUCGAAAGCGUGGGGAGCGAACAGG
This 429-nucleotide ribosomal RNA is filed under the name Bacteroidota bacterium. RNAcentral describes it as "Bacteroidetes bacterium partial 16S ribosomal RNA". It matches the Rfam family "Bacterial small subunit ribosomal RNA", at positions 355 to 776 of the family's 1533-position model. Lineage: Bacteria; Pseudomonadati; Bacteroidota. The record is from RNAcentral.